ACGUGGCGGACGGGUGGAGGAACACGUGGGCGAACCUGCCCGGUGGUGGGGGCGUAGCCGUCGGAAACGGCGGGUAAGUUCCGCAUGAGCUCGUCUCCCGAGUGGGGGAGGAUGAGGAAAGCUCUUCGGAGCGCCAUCGGAGGGGUCUGUGUCCGAUUAGUUAGCUGGUGGGGUAACGGCCUACCAGGGCGAUGAUCGGUAGCUGGUUUGAGAGGAUGAUCAGCCACACGGGGACUGAGACACGGCCCCGACUCCUACGGGAGGCAGCAGCAAGGAAUUUUCCGCAAUGGGCGCAAGCCUGACGGAGCAACGCCGCGUGCGGGAUGACGCUUUUCGGAGUGUAAACCGCUGUUCGUGGGGACGAAGCACUGACGGUACCCACGGAGGAAGGCCCGGCUAACUACGUGCCAGCAGCCGC
This 418-nucleotide ribosomal RNA is filed under the name uncultured bacterium. Its description in RNAcentral is "bacterial SSU rRNA". It matches the Rfam family "Bacterial small subunit ribosomal RNA", at positions 93 to 518 of the family's 1533-position model. The record is from RNAcentral.